This 351-nucleotide non-coding RNA is filed under the name Acyrthosiphon pisum (pea aphid). RNAcentral's name for it is "Eukaryotic large subunit ribosomal RNA". It matches the Rfam family "Eukaryotic large subunit ribosomal RNA", at positions 3112 to 3401 of the family's 3401-position model. Lineage: Eukaryota; Metazoa; Arthropoda; Insecta; Hemiptera; Aphididae. The record is from Rfam by way of RNAcentral.
GAUUACGCCUGAACGCCUCUAAGGCCGUAUCCACUCUGGAGAAAACAGCCGGGCCGGCUUUCGGGCCGGUCUCGGGAAAACGAUCGUCCGUACGGCGGAGGAGAACCCAGUAUACAUCGGGAAGGCGUCAAAGCACGGACCUUCGGGUCCACGACGAGCCGGAUUCUCGGCCGCGCGGGCUCUCGGGCCCGCUGGCCGUGCAUCAACGGUGAACGCGGUGAUCCCGCGGCAAACGGUGUGGGUUUUCGGAAUCGUCUGCAGACGACUUAAGUACCGGGCUGGGUGUUGUACUCGGCAGAGCAGUUACCACGCUGCGAUCUGUUAAGACUGCCCUUUGCCUCGGGGGUUCGU